CAAGCCAGAAGAGGCGCGUCGCCCAGGUAAAGUGUCUGAGGAGCCAUCAUCCGAUGACGGCACUGGAGGGGGAGCGACGCCGAGGCGUGAUGAUAUCCAGGUUUAUCGGGUAUAACGGCAACCAUCACGUCGGCUACAGGGGCUGAAUCCCCUGAGUUGUCACCGUGGGCCACCUUAAUCAAGUGGUCAGCAAGGUGGAGCGCUUCUGGGUGU
Molecule: non-coding RNA, 213 nt
Filed under: Serratia sp. (in: enterobacteria)
Lineage: Bacteria; Pseudomonadati; Pseudomonadota; Gammaproteobacteria; Enterobacterales; Yersiniaceae
Also listed under: 1 other name
Description: Serratia sp. Lysine sequence
Rfam family: Lysine riboswitch aptamer
About the family: Riboswitches are metabolite binding domains within certain messenger RNAs that serve as precision sensors for their corresponding targets. Allosteric rearrangement of mRNA structure is mediated by ligand binding, and this results in modulation of gene expression. This family includes riboswitches that sense lysine in a number of genes involved in lysine metabolism, including lysC.
Source: RNAcentral